CCUACGGGAGGCAGCAGUGGGGAAUAUUGGACAAUGGGCGAAAGCCUGAUCCAGCAAUGCCGCGUGAGUGAUGAAGGCCUUCGGGUCGUAAAGCUCUUUUACCAGGGAUGAUAAUGACAGUACCUGGAGAAUAAGCUCCGGCUAACUCCGUGCCAGCAGCCGCGGUAAUACGGAGGGAGCUAGCGUUGUUCGGAAUUACUGGGCGUAAAGAGUACGUAGGCGGUUAUUCAAGUCAGAGGUGAAAGCCCGGGGCUCAACCCCGGAACUGCCUUUGAAACUAGAUAACUAGAGUCUUGGAGAGGUUAGUGGAAUUCCGAGUGUAGAGGUGAAAUUCGUAGAUAUUCGGAAGAACACCAGUGGCGAAGGCGACUAACUGGACAAGUACUGACGCUGAGGUACGAAAGCGUGGGGAGCAAACAGGAUUAGAUACCCUGGUAGUCCACGCCGUAAACGAUGAUAACUAGUUGUUCGGUCACUUGGUGACUGAGUGACGCAGCUAACGCAUUAAGUUAUCCGCCUGGGGAGUACGGUCGCAAGAUUAAAACUCAAAGUGAUAGAGCGUGAGAGUUGCGAGCGACACGAGGAGAGG
Molecule: ribosomal RNA, 589 nt
Filed under: uncultured bacterium
Lineage: Bacteria
Description: bacterial SSU rRNA
Rfam family: Bacterial small subunit ribosomal RNA
Source: RNAcentral